This is a non-coding RNA of Coturnix japonica (Japanese quail), 1859 nucleotides long. NCBI's taxonomy places the organism in Eukaryota, Metazoa, Chordata, Aves, Galliformes, Phasianidae. The record is from RefSeq and is a predicted model, not a curated record.
UCCUGUGAAAAGCAGAAUGAGAUAAGAGUUAGGUACAAUGAAUGUUACAUUUGCUGUUUGCUAACAAGACUCCAGAACGGGUAGCAUACAAAGUAGUUCCUAUGUAUGAGAGUUUUGAAUCCCUGAGAUUUCAUUUUCUUUCUAAGGAGUGGGAAAAGAAGUUGGGUUGUUUAUUUAGCAAAAUAAUUCAUUUGAGUCUAGAAAAAUACAAUAAGAAUUACUAACAUACAGAAGUAAUAUACUGGAUUGGUUGAAAAGUAGGCUGUAAUGGAUGCUUUGCAAAUUGGGUCAGCAAUCCCAUUUUUACUUUCUCCCCGUUGAUUUCAUUAUGCUGAAAGGUCAAUCAACAGUUCUGUAAGGAGCAGGAACAAGGAUCAGAGAUAGGGAAAAAAAAUAACUUCUUAAAAAUCCAUGACAGAAAUGAGAUUUUUCGUUUGCAUCAUCAAAAUAAAAUGCCAUUUCUUCCCACAGUCUGAGAAUGAAAACAUCCUAAACUGCUUCCCUCUCUCUGCACAUGGAGGCGGCCACUUGCAAGCUACCUGUAGCAGAGACUUCUAGUAUCACCCCAGUCUGCCAGGCCAUCUCCCAUUGGACUUGUUAUCAUAUAAAACAAGAUGAGGAAAUUUCAGCACUGCACGUAUUGAAACUGCUUUAGUUGAUUCUGUUGCACAUAGGAGCAACUGGAACAGAUGCUUACCUAAGCUGUUACCUCCACAACCCUGCAAGAUCCGUCUCGCUCGCUUUUUUGCAUCUUCUGGAAAACUUGGGCUGUCCAACAGGUUUGGGUAUGUGCACAGUGCCACUACCUAGAGUGCCAAGAAAGCUGUAAAUUGGCCACUGCUCAACGGUUAUUUCAAGUUGGUAAUGUUUCUGUGAACUUUCCUUGAGCAGGAGGAUCACAAAUACUAGGUAAUUUAAAUCAAAGGUUAUUGAUGAAGGGACUUGCAGUUGUUUCUUUAAGGGUAGUGCUUGCAGAAGUGAAGAAAUUCUAUCAGGUUCCAAGUUCUGCUGAUAAAAGCAGUUAUAGAGUUGUUAACUAUUUGUAUUACGGAUGGUAAACACUGGAAUCCAAGUGAGCUAUGCGUAGUGCAAACACAGUAAAACAGUUAGUUAUACAGAAGGGGAACUCUCUAAACAGGUCUGUCCUCCACUCUUUGUGUAUUAUUAGCCCACUUAAUUGACAAGAAAUAAAGAGAUUAGGUAAAGAACAGAACUGAAAAUAUGAUCAGAAUUUUAAAUCCCAGUAGCAUCUUCUGAUAAUUCUUUCCUAAAAGAACUCCUAACCAAUUAGAAUGUGUGGUAAUAUUUAAUUAAAAAAAGAAGUGAUGAUAUGGAACAUAGGAAAAGUAGAAACAUAACCUAACAGAAUUAGUUUAUGGAGGAAUGUAAGGCAUAAAGAUUCUGAAGGCCUUGCUUGAGAUCAGCUUUGAUUCACACUCUUGUUUUUAGGUUCACAUGGUGUCAAAUGGAUGGGCUGUUAUCAUCUCAUGGGAAGGUGACUAAAUAAUUGGACUGUGAGCAUAUACUGUCAUGGGGAGAAAGGGUUUCACAUUUACAUGGUAUUUUACUUAAUAACAUUGGUGGAUCUGAAUUUACUUGAAGAAAGCUUGGGUCUUUCUAGUUUGUGGGCAGUUUGCUGUGUAGCUCAAUUUUAUUGUCUCAGUAUGUAGAUACCCAGAAUGAUGCUGCUUCAGUGUGGCCUGUAACUCUCUAAAUUUGUAUGAUAGGCUCAGGAUUUUGUGUGCGAGUGAGGGAUGUUCUAGUAUGCUAUUUUUAUUAGCAUGCUAUUUAUUUAGAUAGUAUAAAAAUACUUUUAAUAAAUAAUAAAACAUAUCGUUUCAAAAUGGUAUGUGUUUAAA